AAUACGUUCCCGGGCCUUGUACACACCGCCCGUCACGUCACGAAAGUCGGUAACACCCGAAGCCGGUGGCCUAACCCUUGGGAGGGAGCCGUCGAAGGUGGGAACCAGCGAUUGGGACG
Molecule: ribosomal RNA, 119 nt
Filed under: uncultured bacterium
Lineage: Bacteria
Description: partial 16S ribosomal RNA
Rfam family: Bacterial small subunit ribosomal RNA
Source: RNAcentral